UGGGGAAUAUUGCACAAUGGGGGAAACCCUGAUGCAGCGACGCCGCGUGAGCGAAGAAGGUUUUCGAAUCGUAAAGCUCUGUCCUAUGGGAAGAUAAUGACGGUACCAUAAGAAAAAGCCCCGGCUAACUACGUGCCAGCAGCCGCGGUAAUACGUAGGGGGCUAGCGUUGUCCGGAAUCACUGGGCGUAAAGGGUUCGCAGGCGGAAAUGCAAGUCAGGUGUAAAAGGCAGUAGCUUAACUACUGUAAGCAUUUGAAACUGCAUAUCUUGAGAAGAGUAGAGGUAAGUGGAAUUUUUAGUGUAGCGGUGAAAUGCGUAGAUAUUAAAAAGAAUACCGGUGGCGAAGGCGACUUACUGGGCUCAUUCUGACGCUGAGGAACGAAAGCGUGGGUAGCAAACAGG
This 403-nucleotide ribosomal RNA is filed under the name Verrucomicrobiota bacterium. RNAcentral describes it as "Verrucomicrobia bacterium partial 16S ribosomal RNA". It matches the Rfam family "Bacterial small subunit ribosomal RNA", at positions 355 to 776 of the family's 1533-position model. The record is from RNAcentral. RNAcentral also lists the same sequence under 1 other name. Lineage: Bacteria; Pseudomonadati; Verrucomicrobiota.